UGUUUCAAUUUUUGUUUCCGAAUUUGGGUGAACCUCGCGCUUGAAUGUUCAAAUUGACGAAUUCAUCUCGAGGAUAAUUAGAAUCUGUGACGAGGCCAAAUUGUCAUUUAACGAGAGGAAUUUGGUAGUUAAUUUGGAAGUAAGGAUUUACGUUCUAAUGCUAGGUUAACGAGCGUGGGUCCAACGUGUCUAAUGUGGAAUUAAUUUCGAGUAAUUCCCAGAGAUCCGAGGAUCCUCGGGAGAGGAAUAACUCGACAAAUACUCGAGCAUUGCCAAAAUUUCAUUCUCCAAAUUACGGAAACACUCGUUCUUCGACGAAUCCUCAAUUUCUAGCGAGUCGCCUAAUUGCUGUAGAAAAGUGAUCGAGCCGAAUUAACUGCUGUCGACGCUCGAGUCUCGAGUGAAUUUCGAGCUGAAUAUUUUUCUAAGAGAAGAAAAGCCAAGAUCAUCCAGCUGCUUCUAAGACCCGAGCAUCCGAGAAUGUGCUAAGACCUCUCUGUAAAUCCUCUCGAUAACUGACUAACUCCUCGUCUCCGAAUUGAUUGAUGACCUCGGUAAUUAAUCGUGACGGCAAAUCCCGUAGAAUCUGCGUUCGAGGAUGAAACGAGUGGACAGGCUUCCCUUUGAGAACCAUAUUAGCCACCGCAGCUGGAAAAGGAUCAGCAGAAGGACUGGCUGAAUUGGAAGGAUCUCGCGCGUGAUCCCGACAAUUUUGCUGAAAGCUCGUGUGAUCGAGCGUGCGUCUCCUCCCCUCCGUUCCGCCGCUCUCUUUUCUUCGACCGGGCGGUGUUCGGAAACCGCGACAAAAUUAACAUCGGGGGGAGGGGAGGGAGGAUAAUCAAAGCUGACAGACCGGGCUAAUUAGCCACUUGACUCGACUCGAUUCGAAUCGUGCUGUAAUUUCAAUGCGCGAGAAAGACACGAGAGUGGGCGAGCAGAGGAAAAUAUUCCUCAGAAGGAAAAUGUUGUGGAAAUGUUUGGCGAGUCGAAGCUGAGAGAAUUCGAGGUGAAGUGAGGAACUCGCUCGCGUGAGAUUGAAUUCAAACGUUUUGUGAAAAUUAACGAGAGAUCGUCUGCGAUUUCUGUCUAAUUAAAAUCGGCCGAAGAUGAAAGAAUUUUGAAGUAAAUGCUCGAAAUAAUACUCUAAUACUGGAGGUGAUUUCUAAGAGUUUCUGAGAGUGAGGAGCUUCGAUUGCUACUACAUAUAAAAUGGAGGGGAGAGUCGUUGAAAUGAACGACAACUGUUCGAGGAGAAACUGGAAGUUUAUGAAAAUCGACCGAGGCUCGAGCUAGUUAUUGGCGAAGAAACGUUUGAUGGAGAGGCGAACGAGUAAGAAGCUUGCGAGCAAUUGCUUCCUCCUGAGCUGAGGAUGGAAUUCGUUGGAAUUAAUUCGAGGAUCUUGAAUCUCGAAGAGAAAGCGAAACAAAAUUCUGCCUGAACGUAAAGAGACAGGGUAUACUACGAAACUGUCAUUUAACACUCGACUAGUUCGAUUUUACUACGAUAAGCAUUAACAAAAGAUGUUCAGAAAGAGUAAAU
Molecule: long non-coding RNA, 1540 nt
Organism: Frieseomelitta varia
Lineage: Eukaryota; Metazoa; Arthropoda; Insecta; Hymenoptera; Apidae
Exons: 2
Source: RefSeq, a predicted model, not a curated record